RNAcentral lists this ribosomal RNA (301 nucleotides) under uncultured bacterium. Its description in RNAcentral is "bacterial SSU rRNA". It matches the Rfam family "Bacterial small subunit ribosomal RNA", at positions 775 to 1067 of the family's 1533-position model. The record is from RNAcentral.
GGAUUAGAUACCCUGGUAGUCCACGCUGUAAACGAUGUCGACUAGCCGUUGGGCUCAUUUAAGAGUUUAGUGGCGCAGCUAACGCGAUAAGUCGACCGCCUGGGGAGUACGGCCGCAAGGUUAAAACUCAAAGGAAUUGACGGGGGCUCACACAAGCGGUGGAGCAUGUGGCUUAAUUCGAAGCAACGCGAAGAACCUUAUCCUGGGUUUGACAUGUACGGAUGCCCUCGGUGAAAGUCGAGUAAGCUGCCUUCGGGUGAAACGUACACAGGUGCUGCAUGGCUGUCGUCAGCUCGUGUCG